GAGCCGGUAAAACUCGUGCCAGCCACCGCGGUUAUACGAGAGGCUCAAGUUGACAGACAACGGCGUAAAGAGUGGUUAGGGAAACUUUAAAACUAAAGCCGAACGUCCUCAGAGCUGUUUAACGCUCCCGAGUUAAGAAGGUCUUUAACGAAAGUAGCUUUACCAAACCUGACCCCACGAAAGCUGUGAAAACAAACUGGGAUUAGAUACCCCACUAUGCUCAGCCCUAAAAUUCGAUAGGUCACUACGCCCCCUAUCCGCCCGGGUACUACGAGCAUCAGCUUAAAACCCAAAGGACUUGGCGGUGCUUCACAUCCGUCUAGAGGAGCCUGUUCUAUAACCGAUAACCCCCGUUAAACCUCACCCUCCCUUGUUAAUCCCGCCUAUAUACCGCCGUCGUCAGCCUACCCUGUGAAGGACUAGAAGUGAGCAAGAUUGGUAAGACCCAAAACGUCAGGUCGAGGUGUAGUAUAUGAGAGGGGAAGAAAUGGGCUACAUUUCCUAAAUCAGGAAAUACGAACAAUGAACUGAAAUAAGCAUUAGAAGGUGGAUUUAGCAGUAAGCAGAGAAACAGAGUGUUCUGCUGAAGUUAAUGGCAAUAAAGCACGUACACACCGCCCGU
This 622-nucleotide ribosomal RNA is filed under the name Pomacentrus flavioculus (yelloweye damselfish). RNAcentral's name for it is "partial small subunit ribosomal RNA". It matches the Rfam family "Bacterial small subunit ribosomal RNA", at positions 488 to 1397 of the family's 1533-position model. The record is from RNAcentral. Lineage: Eukaryota; Metazoa; Chordata; Actinopteri; Pomacentridae.